AUGUACUCGUCGCAGUCGGUGAGUCGCAUCAACAACAUCCGUACCUCUCUCAUCAAUGCGCAGAAGGGCAACCUCUCCGUCGCCUCCUACUUCGCCACCAUGCGCGGCUACGCCGACGAGUUGACCGCGGCGGGCAAGGCGAUCCUCGACGAUGAGCUCAUCUCCUACAUCAUCCACGGGCUCGACGCCGACUACCAUCUGCUGAUCUCCGCUCUGGAUGCUCGUGUCACCCCCGUCACCAUCGACGAGCUCUUCGCCAUGCUCUCCAAUUUCGAUCAGCGGAUGGUGCACUUCCACGGUAACGGCGGC
This 309-nucleotide ribosomal RNA is filed under the name Triticum aestivum (bread wheat). RNAcentral's name for it is "partial small subunit ribosomal RNA". The record is from RNAcentral. Lineage: Eukaryota; Viridiplantae; Streptophyta; Magnoliopsida; Poales; Poaceae.